UCUAGAUAUAAAGCUAUUUGUGAAAGAUGGAGAUGAGACAAGAAGCCAGCACUGAAAAUGAUCAACGUUGCUCAGCAAAACCAACAACCAGUGUUCUGACUGAAAGAUGAAAACUUGUGUCUGAAGCUGAUCCGAUUCUCCUAUCCACAGGGGCAGAAAGUGGCCAGGAGAGCUCUAGAAGAGCCAGAGAGUUUGGGACAUACGCAGUGGAUAGUCUUAGCAAAAACGAAGGCAGAGAUUCGCCUACUGAGCCCUUCCCAAGUUCCAGAUGUCCAUGCCAUCUUACUGUGACCUUUCCAUCUCCCUGCAAAGAAACAAGUCCAAUUCAUCGGCUACUGCUCCU
RNAcentral lists this long non-coding RNA (343 nucleotides) under Aotus nancymaae (Ma's night monkey). RNAcentral describes it as "lncRNA (ENSANAG00000038830.1)". The record is from RNAcentral. Lineage: Eukaryota; Metazoa; Chordata; Mammalia; Primates; Aotidae.